This 357-nucleotide ribosomal RNA is filed under the name uncultured bacterium. Its description in RNAcentral is "bacterial SSU rRNA". It matches the Rfam family "Bacterial small subunit ribosomal RNA", at positions 8 to 353 of the family's 1533-position model. The record is from RNAcentral.
AGAGUUUGAUCCUGGCUCAGGAUGAACGCUAGCGGCAGGCCUAACACAUGCAAGUCGAGGGGACAGCACGUUAAAGAGUUUACUCUUUUAUGGUGGGCGACCGGCGGACGGGUGCGUAACGCGUAUGCAACCUGCCUGACACAGGGGGAUAAUCCGAAGAAAUUUGGUCUAAUACCCCAUAAUACCGAUAUAGGCAUCUAUGUUGGUUGAAAGCUUUGGUGGUGUCAGAUGGGCAUGCGUUGUAUUAGCUAGUUGGUGAGGUAACGGCUCACCAAGGCGACGAUACAUAGGGGGACUGAGAGGUUAACCCCCCACACUGGUACUGAGACACGGACCAGACUCCUACGGGAGGCAGCA